This is a long non-coding RNA of Trachemys scripta elegans, 391 nucleotides long. RefSeq lists it as uncharacterized. The transcript is spliced from 3 exons. The record is from RefSeq and is a predicted model, not a curated record. Lineage: Eukaryota; Metazoa; Chordata; Testudines; Emydidae.
GGGGCUGGAAGAGCAGGGGUGCUGUCUGCUGGGCUCCCGCUGUCCCGGGGGCUUCCGCGGGAGCUGCCCCGAAGGGCUCUGGGCCGCGAUGGUGCUUCCCGCCUCCUCCCCCCGCAAGUGAGCUCACACAGCUCAUGAAGGCAUACACUGGCCACAGUGACAGAACCAGGAAAAGAUUCAACUACUGGCUGAGCAGUUUUUUCCAGAGGAUGAACCAAUCUAGACUGAAUUUCAUCUCUGUGUUCUUCAACCUUCACUUGAGAUGUCAUCAGCACAAUUUCCUGAAUAAAAUUAUUUCAGAACUGUUCAACAAUCUUUAAGCCACAGUAAGACAAGUCUUGUUACUUCUGUCAUCUUUAUAUGUCAUGUUCUGUUUUAAAUAUCUUCUAGC